RNAcentral lists this transfer RNA (72 nucleotides) under Toxocara canis (dog roundworm). It matches the Rfam family "tRNA". Rfam says of the family: Transfer RNA (tRNA) molecules are approximately 80 nucleotides in length. The record is from Rfam by way of RNAcentral. Lineage: Eukaryota; Metazoa; Nematoda; Chromadorea; Rhabditida; Toxocaridae.
GGAGCAGUAGCUCAGUGGUAGAGCUUCCGCUUUGUAUGAGGAAAUAGCUGGGUCCGAUUCCCGGCGGCUUCC